This 400-nucleotide ribosomal RNA is filed under the name uncultured Entrophospora. RNAcentral's name for it is "SSU rRNA". It matches the Rfam family "Eukaryotic small subunit ribosomal RNA", at positions 569 to 967 of the family's 1831-position model. Lineage: Eukaryota; Fungi; Glomeromycota; Glomeromycetes; Entrophosporales; Entrophosporaceae. The record is from RNAcentral.
AGCAGCCGCGGUAAUUCCAGCUCCAAUAGCGUAUAUUAAAGUUGUUGCGGUUAAAAAGCUCGUAGUUGAAUUUCGGGAUUGACACAUCGGUCGUGCCUUAAGGGGUAUGAACUGGUGUAGUCAAUUUCUCACCUUCUGGAGAACCGCGAUGCCCUUAAUUGUGUGUCACGGGGAACCAGGACCUUUACUUUGAAAAAAUUAGAGUGUUUAAAGCAGGCAUUUUGCUUGAAUACAUUAGCAUGGAAUAAUAAAAUAGGACGGCAUGAUUCUAUUUUGUUGGUUUCUAGGAUCACCGUAAUGAUUAAUAGGGAUAGUUGGGGGCAUUAGUAUUCAAUUGUCAGAGGUGAAAUUCUUGGAUUUAUUGAAGACUAACUACUGCGAAAGCAUUUGCCAAGGAUGU